UGGGGAAUAUUGCACAAUGGGCGAAAGCCUGAUGCAGCAACGCCGCGUGAGCGAAGAAGGUCUUCGGAUUGUAAAGCUCUGUCCUAGGGGAAGAAGAAAAUGACGGUACCCUUGGAGGAAGCCCCGGCUAACUACGUGCCAGCAGCCGCGGUAAUACGUAGGGGGCAAGCGUUAUCCGGAAUUAUUGGGCGUAAAGAGUGCGUAGGUGGUUACCUAAGCAGGGGGUGAAAGGCAAUGGCUCAACCAUUGUUAGCCCUCUGAACUGGGUUACUUGAGUGCAGGAGAGGAAAGCGGAAUUCCUAG
This 303-nucleotide ribosomal RNA is filed under the name uncultured bacterium. Its description in RNAcentral is "bacterial SSU rRNA". It matches the Rfam family "Bacterial small subunit ribosomal RNA", at positions 355 to 673 of the family's 1533-position model. The record is from RNAcentral.